GAACGGGUGUAGCAAUACAUCCGUGGCGAACGGGUGCGUAACACGUGGAUAACCUUCCUUGAGGUGGGGAAUAACCCAGUGAAAAUUGGGCUAAUACCGCAUAACAUCGCGAUGGCACAUGCUGAUGCGAUCAAAGGCGCAAGUCGCCACAAGAGGGAUCCGCGGCCGAUUAGCUAGUUGGCGAGGUAAUGGCUCACCAAGGCAAUGAUCGGUAGCCGGACUGAGAGGUUGGCCGGCCACACUGGAACUGAGACACGGUCCAGACUCCUACGGGAGGCAGCAGUGGGGAAUCUUGCGCAAUGGGCGAAAGCCUGACGCAGCGACGCCGCGUGGGGGAUGAAGCUUCUCGGAGUGUAAACCCCUUUCGACCCGGACGAAACGCCCGCAAGGGCUUGACGGUACGGGUAUAAGAAGCCCCGGCUAACUACGUG
RNAcentral lists this ribosomal RNA (431 nucleotides) under uncultured bacterium. RNAcentral's name for it is "bacterial SSU rRNA". It matches the Rfam family "Bacterial small subunit ribosomal RNA", at positions 64 to 507 of the family's 1533-position model. The record is from RNAcentral.